RNAcentral lists this ribosomal RNA (809 nucleotides) under uncultured Flavobacteriia bacterium. Its description in RNAcentral is "bacterial SSU rRNA". It matches the Rfam family "Bacterial small subunit ribosomal RNA", at positions 74 to 884 of the family's 1533-position model. The record is from RNAcentral. Lineage: Bacteria; Pseudomonadati; Bacteroidota; Flavobacteriia.
GGGUAGCAAUACCUGGCGGCGACCGGCAAACGGGGCGGAACACGUACGCAACCUUCCUUUAAGUGAGGAAUAGCCCAGGGAAACUUGGAUUAAUACCUCGUAACACUAUGAGAUGGCAUCAUCUUAUAAUUAUAGCUACGGCGCUUAAAGAUGGGCGUGCGGCUGAUUAGGUAGUUGGCGGGGUAACGGCCCACCAAGCCUACGAUCAGUAACUGGUGUGAGAGCACGACCAGUCACACGGGCACUGAGACACGGGCCCGACUCCUACGGGAGGCAGCAGUAAGGAAUAUUGGUCAAUGGACGCAAGUCUGAACCAGCCAUGCCGCGUGGAGGAUGAAGGUCCUCUGGAUUGUAAACUUCUUUUAUUUGGGAAGAAACCCAUGUUUUCUAACGUGGUUGACGGUACCAGAUGAAUAAGCACCGGCUAACUCCGUGCCAGCAGCCGCGGUAAUACGGAGGGUGCAAGCGUUAUCCGGAUUCACUGGGUUUAAAGGGUGCGUAGGUGGGCAGGUAAGUCAGUGGUGAAAUCUCUGGGCUUAACCCAGAAACUGCCGUUGAUACUAUCUGUCUUGAAUGUAGUGGAGGUGAGCGGAAUAUGUCAUGUGGCGGUGAAAUGCUUAGAUAUGACAUAGAACACCAAUUGCGAAGGCAGCUCGCUACACUACUAUUGACACUGAGGCACGAAAGCGUGGGGAUCAAACAGGAUUAGAUACCCUGGUAGUCCACGCCCUAAACGAUGGAUACUCGACAUCAGCGAUACACUGUUGGUGUCUGAGCGAAAGCAUUAAGUAUCCCACCUGGGAAGUACG